This 162-nucleotide non-coding RNA is filed under the name Bacillus infantis. RNAcentral's name for it is "GlcN6P sequence". It matches the Rfam family "glmS glucosamine-6-phosphate activated ribozyme aptamer". Rfam says of the family: This entry contains a glucosamine-6-phosphate activated ribozyme that is found in the mRNA for GlmS. The record is from RNAcentral. Lineage: Bacteria; Bacillati; Bacillota; Bacilli; Caryophanales; Bacillaceae. RNAcentral also lists the same sequence under 1 other name.
UAUACUUUUAAAGCGCCUGAACUAGCCAUGAGAGGGCUAGUUGACGAGGAGGAGGUUUAUCGAUUUUUCGGCGGAUGCCUCCCGGUUGAGCAAGCACAACCGAAAAUCCUUCUUUAAAGCAUCAAGGCAACUUGGUGGACAAAGAGAGGGAUAUGCUUCUGA